This 254-nucleotide ribosomal RNA is filed under the name uncultured bacterium. RNAcentral's name for it is "partial 16S ribosomal RNA". It matches the Rfam family "Bacterial small subunit ribosomal RNA", at positions 524 to 776 of the family's 1533-position model. The record is from RNAcentral.
UACGGGGGGAGCAAGCGUUGUUCGGAUUUACUGGGCGUAAAGGGCGCGUAGGCGGCCAGCACAAGUCAGUUGUGAAAUCUCCGAGCUUAACUCGGAAAGGUCAACUGAUACUGUGCGGCUAGAGUGCCGAAGGGGCAACUGGAAUUCUUGGUGUAGCGGUGAAAUGCGUAGAUAUCAAGAGGAACACCUGCGGCGAAGGCGGGUUGCUGGGCUGACACUGACGCUGAGGCGCGAAAGCUAGGGGAGCGAACGGG